Neolamprologus brichardi is the source of this 1163-nucleotide non-coding RNA. The record is from RefSeq and is a predicted model, not a curated record. NCBI's taxonomy places the organism in Eukaryota, Metazoa, Chordata, Actinopteri, Cichliformes, Cichlidae.
CCUGUUAGCACAGGUAAUCGUCUAAGCCGAUCAGGUUACACUUAAAUAAAGUUCUCGAAAAAACAAAAGUUCAAAAACGGUUUCUGCUAUUUUAAAUAAGUCAAAGUUGUAAUUUACUUAAGUACAAAUGCUGGCGUCCUCCGGUGUGUGUGUUAUCUGUUAUUUGAGUCAGUGUGUUUGUGUGUGUGUGUGUGUUUUUGUGUGUGUUUUCUGUGUGUGUGUGUGUGUGUGUGGCCGAAGUCUUCCUGGUUGGCUGUGUUGUUGUCUCAGCCCUCGCAGUGUCUCUGUGCUCCUGUUAUUCCUUCACUUCCUCCUUCAGGUCGUCGUCAUGUUGUUUAACUAACUAGCAGCUGCUGGUUAGUGUUUCUUAACUACCAUCAACUUGUCCGGGAGUUAGCUAUCUGCUAGCUCUAGCAACCCUGUCAUCAACAGCCUAGCGUUAGCAUCGUUUUUAGCCUCCUAGCAGCAGAGGGUACUUCCCGGACUUAACACGCCGGAUUCCGUUACCAAACCGUCGGAUUUAAAGUCCUGUGACUUACCGCACGUGUGUGUCGACUGUAAGAAGAACUACUGCAGCCGCUGCUCCGCCCAGCAGGCGCCUCGGCCACGCCUCUGUCACACCUGUCAGCGUUUCUAUGGCAACCUGCUGGAGCGGGCAGAGCUGAUGAAGCUGAAAGUGAAGGAGCUGCGGGACUACCUGCACCUGCACGAGGUUUCCACCCACAUGUGCAGAGAAAAGGUGACGUAUGCGCCAUAUUUCGCACUUCCUGAUGAGACGUGCACGUAUCCUUGGGUUUUAGUGCGACAUCCAGGUGGGAGGAGUCAGUGAGACACGCUAUGGCCUGAUCAACCGUAUUCACGGUCCGUCGCACUCGUGCAGUUGCUGGAGUGUUGUUCCUCUUCUUCGCAUUCAUAACAGGGAAGAGGAGGAAGAGUCUGACCGGGUGCUGGUGUCAGCGCUCCAGCUGACCUCUGAUGACCUCUGCUUCUGCUGUUGCUGGAGAAUCCGUCGUCUGUGAGGCUGGCACAAAACAAAGCUGAAAUAUUUGGUCUCCUGUGGGAGCACACUCCUCUCUGUUCACAUCUUUGUGCCUGUGCGCUGUGCGCCUGGUCUGAUGAUGUUUAACCCGUAAUGACUCGGUCUCCGUGCUGUAGCUGUUUAC